UACGGAGGGGGCUAGCGUUGUUCGGAAUUACUGGGCGUAAAGCGCGCGUAGGCGGCUUUGUAAGUUAGAGGUGAAAGCCCAGGGCUCAACCCUGGAAUUGCCUUUAAGACUGCAUCGCUUGAACAUCGGAGAGGUAAGUGGAAUUCCGAGUGUAGAGGUGAAAUUCGUAGAUAUUCGGAAGAACACCAGUGGCGAAGGCGACUUACUGGACGAUUGUUGACGCUGAGGUGCGAAAGCGUGGGGAGCAAACAGG
Molecule: ribosomal RNA, 253 nt
Filed under: uncultured bacterium
Lineage: Bacteria
Description: partial 16S ribosomal RNA
Rfam family: Bacterial small subunit ribosomal RNA
Source: RNAcentral